RNAcentral lists this long non-coding RNA (746 nucleotides) under Bos grunniens (domestic yak). Its description in RNAcentral is "lncRNA (ENSBGRG00000015823.1)". The record is from RNAcentral. Lineage: Eukaryota; Metazoa; Chordata; Mammalia; Artiodactyla; Bovidae.
GGGGCGGGAAUCAACAGAAGUCUAGCUAGUCGGAUCAGUCUGUGGAGUGAACAAAGUCAAAGCCCAUGUCAACAGCGGUUCGACUGAUUUUUAACCUCUUGGACAAGUCAACUUGGUUUCAAAGGGUUGGACCCUUGGGACAUGGACAUCCAGGCAGUGGGUGCCUCUGGAGGCAGGUCAUGGGCAUGAAAAGAUAGAUGGACAUUUAAGAUCCAUGGAGAGCAUCAUUGGUGCUGUUACACAAUGCAAGAAGAGAAAGCUUCAGUUUCUCAAGGACAAUGUUAAGUCGGUUCAUCAGCCAGCUUGACAUCCCAAACUCACCAUCACCCAGCAAGACUCAAGCUCUGAGCUGCACUGCAGACGAGCCAGGGGUGAGGUGCCCUAAUCUGGACUCUUCAGGCAUGGCUCCGCGCUGCAGGUUGAAUCCAGUUGUUGACUCAGGAUGGUUCCAGGUUGCAGCUCCCCGGUCCGUGUGUUUUCCAUGUGACAAGAACUUCACGGAGAAAGAGUCUGGAAAUACCACUAUGCUCAUCUCCACCUGCAACAAUCUUACUCGAUCUUCAACAAGGUCCUUCUUCAAUUCCACUUACUUUGGGAAAUCUUGGCCAUCUUUCAGGGCAUAUCCAGGAGCUGGAUAUGAAUCUGGUGAGUGGGUAGCACUGUCAGUCACUCACUGGAAUACAGUGCACUGUUGCAUUCUAAAGAGUGUGUGCAUGUUUUGUCUCAUUGAGAUUACACGCCCCUAA